Molecule: non-coding RNA, 1004 nt
Organism: Camellia sinensis
Lineage: Eukaryota; Viridiplantae; Streptophyta; Magnoliopsida; Ericales; Theaceae
Source: RefSeq, a predicted model, not a curated record
UCCCAUUUCACUCUGUCAUCAUCCCUCUCUCUCUCUCACAGUUCUGUCUCUCAUCAUCCCUCCUCUCUCUCUCUCUCUCUCUCUCUCUCUCUCAUCAUCCCUCUUCUCUCUCUCUUUCUCUCAAGCGACCCUCCUACCGGACACCUUCCACCACUGUCGCACACGAGCACCUACCUCCUCACCGGCGACGGGACAACCCACCUCCCCACCAGCGACGGUACCACCCAUCUCCACACCAGCGACGGACAACAGUAGCUACUUUGAUUUGUCUCUCCUCCAGCGCACACCAGGUUUUCUUAGGGCUAGUUGAUCACGAGAAGGAAUCAAUUUAGUCUAGAGCAGGGAACACACCAAUAUAAGGUCAUGUGAGAUUAGAAAACAUUGGGCAAAAUGGACACUACAAAAAAAUAGUUGACCAAACCAAGUACCGCAACUAAGAAGGCUGCAGUUCAACAUAAGAAAUUAAGGAAGGAAAAACAAAUACCAAUUGAGGAAAAUGACGAUGAUUAUCGACCGUCAGAGGCUGAAGAUGGCAGUGACACUGAAUCCUAUGAUUCGUUUGAGCAUGAGUUGUUAGAGAUACCAUCGAGAGCCUGGGGAGGAGUAUGCAAGAAACCACCCACCGAAGGAUGUUGAUCCUACCAUGUGGAUAGAUCUUAUUGAUAAAAAGUGGAACACUAAAGAAUUUCUGGAGCAAUCAAAGGCCAACAUCGCAAAUAGAGAAAGGAUGUAUACAAAACAUAGGUGUGGUUCUAGGUCAAUCCCUGUUAGAAUAGAAAAACUGAUUGGAUUGGGGUGGCAUUUUUGACGUGCAACAGUGAUGUAAUUUGCUUGAAUGUUCAUUUUUGUUUGAUAAGGAUACACAUACUUUGUGGAGUUGCAGUAGUUAUUGUUGGAUGUUUGGUGGAAUUGCACAAGUUAUAACUUUUGGAUAUUUUGUGGAUAUUGCACUAUUUUAUUGUAUUAGGAUGAAAUUAUUUGUGAUAAUGAAUGGAUACUUACAU